Molecule: ribosomal RNA, 433 nt
Filed under: uncultured Nocardia sp.
Lineage: Bacteria; Bacillati; Actinomycetota; Actinomycetes; Mycobacteriales; Nocardiaceae
Description: bacterial SSU rRNA
Rfam family: Bacterial small subunit ribosomal RNA
Source: RNAcentral
AACGCGAAGAACCUUACCUGGGUUUGACAUACACCGGAAACCUGCAGAGAUGUAGGCCCCCUUGUGGUCGGUGUACAGGUGGUGCAUGGCUGUCGUCAGCUCGUGUCGUGAGAUGUUGGGUUAAGUCCCGCAACGAGCGCAACCCUAUCUUAUGUUGCCAGCGCGUAAUGGCGGGGACUCGUGAGAGACUGCCGGGGUCAACUCGGAGGAAGGUGGGGACGACGUCAAGUCAUCAUGCCCCUUAUGUCCAGGGCUUCACACAUGCUACAAUGGCCGGUACAGAGGGCUGCGAUACCGUGAGGUGGAGCGAAUCCCUUAAAGCCGGUCUCAGUUCGGAUCGGGGUCUGCAACUCGACCCCGUGAAGUUGGAGUCGCUAGUAAUCGCAGAUCAGCAACGCUGCGGUGAAUACGUUCCCGGGCCUUGUACACACCG